GGCAACUUGCUCCGGUCCCCUUCCACAGUGUGUAAGCUUUGUUCUUUUGCUCUUUGCAAUAAAUCUUGCUACUGCUCAGUCUUUGAGUCUACAUUGCUUUUGUGAGCUGUAACACUCACUGCAAAGGUCUGCAGCUUCAUUCCUGAAGCCAGUAAGACCACAAACCCACCAGAAGGAAGAAACUCCGAACACAUCUGAACAUCAGAAAGAACAAACUCCAGACAUGCCACCUUAAGAGCUAUAACACUCACCGUGAGGGUCCGUGGCUUCAUUCUUGAAGUCAGUGAGACCAAGAACCCACCAAUUCCGGACACAAGCUAAGAUCACACCACACUGCAUCCCAGCCUGGCAACAGAGCGAGACUGUCUCAAAAAAAAAAAAAGGCCGGGUGCCGUGGCUCACCUUUGUAAUUCCAGCACUUUGAGAGGCUGAGGAGGGUGGAUCACCUGAGGUCAGGAGUUCAAGACCAGCCUAGCCAACAUUGUGAAACCCCGUCUCCACUAAAAAUACAAAAAAAUUAGCCAGAUGUGGUGGGCGCCUGUAAUCUCAGCUACUCAGGAGGCUGAGGCAGGAGAAUCGCUUGAACCUGGAGCAGGGCUGGAUGGGGGGUAGAGGUUGUAGUGAGCUGAGGUCAGGCCACCACACACAAGCCUGGGCAAUAAGAGUGAAAUGCCAUCUCAAUAAAUAUUGUGUUUGGUUCUUGAGUAACAAAAACUCAAUACAAUGGCCUAACUUCAUAGGUGUUUAUUUUUCCCAGUUAUGAAGAAGACUUGAGCAGGCAGUCCAGAGCUGAUACAGCUGCUCCAAUCACCAGAGAUGCAAUCUCCUGCUAGAUGUCUUCACAUCUACCUUUCUAUGUCACAUGUGCAAGAUGGUUGCUCUGCCUUCAGACAUCACAUUUACAUUCCAGGCAGAAAGGAGAAGGAAAGAGCAAAAGAUGUGUUCCGAACAAAUCCAUCUUAAAAACAAACAAGGGGAGGGGUAGCAGGAGAAAAUUUAAAAAGAAGAAGAAGAAAAACAAAAACAGGAAAGCCGUUGUUUCCCUAAAAGCCCCAUCAAGCCGACUUCUACCGGUGACUCAUUACCCAGUCAUGUGGCCACCCCUGGAUUCAAGGCAGUCUGAGGAGGUGAGUGUUUCAAAGAGGCACAUGGAUGCCACAGACAAAAUCAAGUUUCCAUGGUUGAAGGAGAAGAGGACGAUAGAGUUUGGGGAGGCAGCAGGCUACGUCUGCCACAGAAGAUAUAAAGAUAUGGAGCCACACGAGAAGAUGGGGGAGGCUGCCAAAAAAGUCCACUGGGUACAGGUGAGGAGCAGGUGACAUUGGAGUUGCUCCAUCUGAGGAGCCCGCACCUGCAAUGGCUUGUGCUCCUGCUCCUGUGGGUAUAGGCACAAGGCUGAUGCCGAGAGAGUGAGUUGUUUCUGUUGGGGUUCAGAACACAAUACCCCAAAGUAUGGCGAUGAGUACUUAACUAAAGGACAUUGGAAGGCCUCAGAAGCAGCCUCAGAUCCAAGGUCCCUCUGACCUGCUCCUGCCCUCCUGUCUCUCUCGUCCCUCGUUCUCCCCUGAAGUGAGUCAUAGAAACCAGAAUCCUCUUCCCCACGGUAGGUCCUAGAAACUAGAACCCUUUUUCCCCGAAGCAAAAGCCAUAAAAACUGGAAUUAUUACUCUAAACUCUCCUUGACUUUUUGUCCAGAAGAUGGCCAUAAAGAAAUUCUCAGCUAGGUGUGGUGGCUCGUAUCUGUAAUCCCAGCACUUUGAGAGGCCAAGGUGGGAGGAUCACUUGAGGCCAGGAGUUUGAGAUCGGCCUGGGCAACAUAGUAAGACCCCCAUCUCUACAAAACUUUUUUUUUUAAACUUACCUAAGCGUGGUGGUACACCUGUAGUCUCAGCUACUUAGGAGGCUGAGGUGGGAGGGACCCUGCUCUGGCUGUGACUGCUUUAUCACAGGGAGUGCCUAUCUGUGGGCUGCUUUCUACACAUUAAAGCAUUUUCAGAAAGGGCCAACAUCAGCCUUGGAAAAAAGGAGGAAGAGCCACGGAGAGUCUCCCUUUAUCUUCCCCUUAUGUGAUGUGAGAGUGCACAUGACUGUGUGCACAUACACACACACACACACACCACACACACACACCCCACAGGCACACAGGGUCAAGAACAUGCUGGGCAGAGCUUAAGCCACUGAAUGUUUCAGUAGGAAUCAUGAUAUCUAAAAAUAGGACAGCUGAUAAGGGGGUUCUUACUACUCACAGUUCCUGGAAUUAUAUGCAAUUGCAUCUUGGAAACUCAACAAAUAAACAGUUAGUAUGGAAUUAAGGAAUUAAGUUUGGUGAAGUUCAAAGAAGCUGAUGUUACUCACAAGAGUAAAUAGAGAGGAAACCGGGCGUGGUGGCUUCACGCCUGUAAUUCUAGCACUUUGGGAGGCCAAGACGAGCAGAUCACUUGAGGUAGAGAGUUUGAGACCAGCCUGGCCAACAUGAUGAAACCCUGUUCUCUACUAAAAAUACAAAAAUUAGCUGGGUGUGGUGGCAGGCACCUGCAAUCCCAGCUACAUGGGAGGCUGAGGCAGGAGAAUCGCUUGAACCCAGGAGACAGGGGUUGCAGUGAGCCAAGAUCACACCACUGCACUCCAGCCUGGGCGACAGAGCAAGACUCCCUCUCAGGAAAGAAAAAAAAAAAAAAAGUAAAUAGAGAGGAAAGCACAGGCCAGGGUAAAGAGCUCCAUGUAGGGCUGGGCGCGGU
Molecule: long non-coding RNA, 2738 nt
Filed under: Homo sapiens (human)
Lineage: Eukaryota; Metazoa; Chordata; Mammalia; Primates; Hominidae
Description: non-protein coding lnc-IER3-15:20
Source: RNAcentral